Molecule: transfer RNA, 72 nt
Organism: Sugiyamaella lignohabitans
Lineage: Eukaryota; Fungi; Ascomycota; Dipodascomycetes; Dipodascales; Trichomonascaceae
Rfam family: tRNA
About the family: Transfer RNA (tRNA) molecules are approximately 80 nucleotides in length. Their secondary structure includes four short double-helical elements and three loops (D, anti-codon, and T loops).
Source: Rfam
GAGUGUAUAGUUCAGUGGUAGAACAACUACCUUUUAAGUAGUUUUGCGUGAGUUCGAGUCUCAUUACACUUA